GGGCCGUGGAGGCUCCGGCCCCCAUAAUAAAAUAUUUGAGGGGGUCAGGCCCAUGCAAAGUUGAUGGGCAUUCCCAUUCAAAUGGUGUGUGUGUGCAUUGUGUCAUGUGAUCGAUUAUGCAGGGCUGGUCUUACCUGGACCCCCCUGAAAUAUUUUAUUCAAUAUUGCACCUGUGCUCCUUACUCUCUAUUCCCACUGGCAAAAUAAAUAAUCACAUCCUGACCAGCUCUGCAGCCAGUUAUAACACACCUUGAAAGGUAUAUAAUGACAUCUUCCCUAUUGACUUUGGGGCAUCUCUUAAAGACUUUUAUGCCCCUAGGCCUAUGCAGCUGCUUUAAGUUAAUGCUUAGCCAAUCAUUUUAGUGAUUAUUAUGUAUUGUUCUUACGAUGUUGCAUGUCUUACAUUAUAUCUUGCUGUGUACUGCCUUACUGUUUUAUAUGAAUUAGUGGUAUAGAUACAUUUUUAAAAAACAAGCAAGCAAGCAAAUUCCUUGGCCCAGGAAGUGUACAGGGUUAGCUGUUGACAUUUUCUGAUGCAAAGGACAAGAUGGUGUCCCCUCCCCUCCCAUGUACAGAAGUCAGUUCAACAGGUAGUUGACUCUUAGGGCUUGUCCGCACCAGAACAAAAUGUGGACCCCCCUCCCCAGUCCAACGAUGUCUAGGACCUUUCCCAGUUUAUAUGUGUGGUUUUCCAAAUUUGAAAUUUCCAACCAUGGGGGGGGGGCACAUUUAAAUGGGAGUAAGUCCAGGGUAAUGCUCAGAUGGGAAGGGGCCUCAUGUGGACCUGACUACGUGAAUGGGGAAACAGGCCACAAUCACACAUUUGUGCCAAGCCAUGGUUUGUCUUAGUGUGAUGUAUAAGCCAAGCCAAAGUUUCUGUAACAUGAGUGGCGGUCCCCAAAAGCUGCUUUACAUUUUCUUAGAUUUCUAAUGAUCAUUGCAGGACCAAAUUCACCGAUCAGUUUAGAGAUAAUGCCAAACACAGCUGGAAAGAAUUCUCUGCACAAUUGGCUUCAGAUGAACUCCAAACAGGAGGACUGCAAGCAAGCAGUCUUGUGGGUAACACUCUGUCUACCAGGAAACUAUAAUUUUAUGAGAGGAAGCAGUUUCCUUUUGGCUUAGCGUCAAAUGACUUGUUCCAUUCAAGAUGCUAAUGAUGCUGCUUCCAAGGAAGAGUGUCGCCCGCCUGCCCUCCACCACAACACACCCAUUCCUAAAAAUUCCAGUACUAAGGACACUUCAAUUGAUCUAAGAUACGUACGGCACACAAAGGGCAAAUCUGAGACUUCUGUGGGGCCUAGUGCAAGCAAGAAGAAGGAGCUUCCUAGUGUAGACAUCUAGGCUGCUAGAAACCUGUGGCACCUAUCACCUGGAAGGCUGGGCAGGCUCUUGCCUCCUUUGGUUUGGAGUUAUGUGAGGGCGGUGUGUGUGUGUGUGUGUGUGUGUGUGUGUGUGUGUGUAGAGGCUAAUAUGGUGGUGUGGCUGAUUGUUUGCUGCCUGGCAAGUUGCCAGUGGGAAGUGAUGUCUGUGUCUGUGGGUGGUCCGCCUGAGCAGAGCAUUCAGCUUGGGGAAGAGCUGCGAAAGGUACAAAGGAGCUUAUGGGAGCUCCCCUGGAUCCUCACUUGUCAGUGCAAUUGACAAGAUGAGAGAUAAGGAGACUGUGAGCCCAGUAGGAGCAUACUUAAGGAGCGUAUCUCCCUAAAAGCACCUCUGAAUAAACAUCUCUGCAAGUCUCCCUCUGCUUUAUGUUAAAUGAUAUGCUGAUUGCUUCUGUAUACUUGCCAACCGUUAAGGAAAAAUAUUUGGCAGGGCACCUGAGAUUGGAAUUAUGUGUAAGAUUUUCUAGCAUUCACAUUGGCCUAGUUCUCUGGUAAGGUCAGAUGGCAUGCUUGGAGCUCGGGUGACUGCACACCACACACACAGUCACACUGUACAUAGCAAACGUGUGAGGGGGCAAUGAGAACAACCCUAAUUCAGACAGCACCACUUGGUUUUCUCUUCAACCUCCAUAGAUUGGAGGGUGAUUGAAGGUGUGUUCACACAUUACUCUGAACACAAGCACAAGCUGUCUCUUCACAGGUAGAAGUGUUUGUGUGGAAAAGUGUACACUUGUUGAUUUGUACAGCUCAGCUACUACCUACAGAGACUGUACCCUGAUUGAAUGCUACAUGUGAGUUACUGUAUGAGUGUACAGAUCUACAACUUGUUUACACAGACGCCUUGAUUGUACUCUCAUGGAAUGUAACAUGUGAACACCCUUUAUGUGAAGCACGGAGCCUCCUGUAGGCACCUUUUUGAAUCUUUUUCAAGAGAGAUUUUACCUGGGAAUGGCCACUUUCCGCCACUCUUAUCUUAUAGCCCUGUUCAAGCAUGAAACCCCCUUGCAGUUUCAAUUGUGUGCAGGAGAGACUGAGAGUGCAUUCUCUGGCCCCUCCCUUUCUGUUGGAUCCACCUGGUCCCACCUUUCACCUCCUUAGAUCUCUAUACAAUUUAGAUCGUGCUGGAUACUGAAAUGGCUUUUACUCUUGGGUGAAUAAACUUUAGGGAUUUCGAAGCCAUUGUGUACUGAUUCGUUUCCACAGCCUUGCCUGCCAAGUUAAAAAAAAUAAAAAUGAACAGAAGUACGAGGAAAGAGUGUUGUUGAAUUGCAAUUAUUAGGUUAUGGUGGUUUGGGCUGGUUAGCACCUUCAUAAAAAGAAGCUGUGGGCAAUUAAACAAUUGCAAGACACAGCUGCAACACACGACUUUUAAAAAGGAGAGAGCGCUGCCUCAGAUUCAGGAAGUCAGGCAGGCAGCUCAGAGAACUAAAUCCUAAAUAGUAAAACAUAUAUUGCCUAUACAGAUUAUGUACAAAAACAUUACAGAGAUAUCCAUGAUGUACAAACUCUGAUAAGAAAAUCAGCCUAGAAAAAGGUUGCACAAAACGAAAAUGAAAAUGCAUGGAGAAGAUUUAUUGCUCUUUUGCAAAUGGGUAGCUGAUCACUUUCCCCAUUUCUUUUGUAGGAUUUCAUUAGAUGCCAAAUGUCCUGUGCAACCUCAGCAAUUGACAUCAAAUGCCAUAUGAAGCCUGGGGAUCAAUCUAUGAAACUGCAUGCGCUGAUGUGCAUCAGUGUUCACCCUGCUCUUUCCCGGGACAGUACAGAACAAGUACUUCUUGCUCAGGAAGAAUUUGUGUAGCACAUUCUCUCUUGAACAAGAUUAUGAUGCUAUUACCCUGUUUAUAAGCAGAGUUGAUAGCUAGCAAAUUAAGAUACUUGAAUCAUCAGUAGGAGAGCUACAGUAUUGGGCAGCUAUGUACUCAAAUGCUCAUAUUCACUGUGAUCCAACUGAGGCCAUAUGGAUAGCUAUAAGGAUUCACUGUGUGCAGAAUUCCUGAUUCCAGAAAGGCUUGUCCAGCAACUACAGCCUGGGUGUGCACAACAGGCAGAUUACUGGCAAUAACACAAACCAUAUAUUCAGAGGUAGGAGGGUAGAAUGUGGGGAAAGAAGAUUGGAUUAAAGUUAUUUUCCUCCACCCAAACAAUGGAUUUAUGUUUCCAAUAACCUGCCUUGCACUGCUAGACAUCACUGCUGCUCAGGCAUAUGGUUGUAGUAGGACCAUUAUCCAUCUUUCUGUUAAAUAAAGUAGGCCCAAAUUCCAGUAUCUUCAAGUAAUAAAUGGCUACAGUCAUUCUACAUGUCUUAUCUGGCCAGCUAAGUGGUGAACAGAUGAUCAUGAGACAGUAAGACUAGAAAUUAUGACUUUUUAGUUCAAUCAAUAAAAUAUUCACUUUGACAGAGACCUAUUUUGAUUUAAUAAAUGAUUGCUGUGAGGCUAUAUAAACUAGAUAUUUUGAUGAUGAUGAUGAUACAGGGGGAAUGUGACAUAGUGUGUGGAGAACACUAGAUUGGAAUGCUCCAUACACAGUUCGGCAAGGCUUUCAAAAGAGAUUUAUUUAAAUUAAAAAUUAAAUUCUGUUGGCAUGCCUUCAGAUAUUAGACAACAUUUGAAUGUACUUGGCUUCCAUGUCAGUGCACUAUACUAGGCGGUCUUAUUCUGCAUAUUCUAUUCUGCACAUUAAAACCAAGACAGAUAUUGUUAAAAAGUAUUUCAGCAGUUGUUCUUAAUAGAAGUUCUUCCAGUCAUUUUAGAAAGCAG
Non-coding RNA from Podarcis lilfordi (Lilford's wall lizard), 4138 nucleotides. Lineage: Eukaryota; Metazoa; Chordata; Lepidosauria; Squamata; Lacertidae. The record is from the annotation of a GenBank genome assembly.